This 752-nucleotide ribosomal RNA is filed under the name Streptococcus sp. NCIM2888. RNAcentral describes it as "bacterial SSU rRNA". It matches the Rfam family "Bacterial small subunit ribosomal RNA", at positions 21 to 758 of the family's 1533-position model. Lineage: Bacteria; Bacillati; Bacillota; Bacilli; Lactobacillales; Streptococcaceae. The record is from RNAcentral.
GGCUCAGGACGAACGCUGGCGGCGUGCCUAAUACAUGCAAGUUGAGCGCUGAAGGUUGGUACUUGUACCGACUGGAUGAGCAGCGAACGGGUGAGUAACGCGUGGGGAAUCUGCCUUUGAGCGGGGGACAACAUUUGGAAACGAAUGCUAAUACCGCAUAAAAACUUUAAACACAAGUUUUAAGUUUGAAAGAUGCAAUUGCAUCACUCAAAGAUGAUCCCGCGUUGUAUUAGCUAGUUGGUGAGGUAAAGGCUCACCAAGGCGAUGAUACAUAGCCGACCUGAGAGGGUGAUCGGCCACAUUGGGACUGAGACACGGCCCAAACUCCUACGGGAGGCAGCAGUAGGGAAUCUUCGGCAAUGGACGAAAGUCUGACCGAGCAACGCCGCGUGAGUGAAGAAGGUUUUCGGAUCGUAAAACUCUGUUGGUAGAGAAGAACGUUGGUGAGAGUGGAAAGCUCAUCAAGUGACGGUAACUACCCAGAAAGGGACGGCUAACUACGUGCCAGCAGCCGCGGUAAUACGUAGGUCCCGAGCGUUGUCCGGAUUUAUUGGGGUAAAGCGAGCGCAGGUGGUUUAUUAAGUCUGGUGUAAAAGGCAGUGGCUCAACCAUUGUAUGCAUUGGAAACUGGUAGACUUGAGUGCAGGAGAGGAGAGUGGAAUUCCAUGUGUAGCGGUGAAAGCGUAGAUAUAUGGAGGAACACCGGUGGCGAAAGCGGCUCUCUGGCCUGUAACUGACACUGAGGCUCGAAA